This 23-nucleotide non-coding RNA is filed under the name Rattus norvegicus (Norway rat). Lineage: Eukaryota; Metazoa; Chordata; Mammalia; Rodentia; Muridae. The record is from RNAcentral.
AGAAAGAAUACAUCCAGGCGGGG